GCCGCCCAUGACGUUGCGGGAAGCCACUGAACCUUAUCAUUUAGAGGAAGGAGAAGUCGUAACAAGGUUUUCGUAGGUGAACCUGCGGAAGGAUCAUUG
RNAcentral lists this ribosomal RNA (99 nucleotides) under Metroxylon sagu. RNAcentral's name for it is "partial 18S ribosomal RNA". It matches the Rfam family "Eukaryotic small subunit ribosomal RNA", at positions 1733 to 1831 of the family's 1831-position model. The record is from RNAcentral. Lineage: Eukaryota; Viridiplantae; Streptophyta; Magnoliopsida; Arecales; Arecaceae.